GAGCAAUCUUGCUGUUCCUUAACCAUAACAUAGGGCACAUUACAACGAAAACAAACGAUACUUCGAGGGGAGAAAAAACAAAAGAACAUGACAAAGAUAACAUCGUAUCAUUGCUGCAAGCCUAGUAUAUAUGUACAUAUAGAAGGCGGAGACGGAGAAGCUGAAGGCUAAACCUAUCUACAUAUGUCGUAUGGACAGAAAGGAAGCGAUUAAAAAGUUCUCUAAAGAGCAAUAGCUUCUGAUGAGUUGAGGCGUCCAUUAGCACCAGCGAAACAUCUGAAGAAACGCUUCUCGUUGUCUUCUUCUUCAUCUUCACCCUCAUUCUCAUUCUCCUCUAAUGAUCUUCCCAUGGUUUCGGGUGUGAAUACAUAUGUCACCACCAUUCCCAGAAGACAAACCGCUCCCAAAGCCACCAAUGCAAUUGUCAUUGAUCUAGGUUUUGGAUCAUUAUCGUAAUCUUUUUUAUUUGAAGCCCACAAAACCCCAAGAGACCCUAUCAAAGCACCAAUCUUCCCCAUGGCCCCGGAAAUCCCAUGACAUGUUGAUCUAAAUCUAGCUGGAAAAAGUUCGGCAGGGACUAUAAAGGUGGUAGUGUUUGGUCCAAAAUUGGCAAAGAAGAAAGUGAGUGCAUAUAGGAACAAGAAACCUCCGUUAGUGUUCUGACCCCAAUAAUGGUAAGGUAUCCCAAGGGCAAAAUAAACUAUACCCAUGAAGAGAAAGCCCAUGAUUUGGAUUUUCCUUCUUCCAACACGAUCGAUGAAAUAGACAGUGAAGUAAUACCCAGGAAUGGUGGAGCAGACUGCGACGAUGGCUUGGAAGCGGGCGAUUUUGAAAGCUGCUUUAUAGACGUUGUCCUUAUCAUUUAGUUUAAGGAACUGGCUGUAAAUCUGUGACUGGAAGAGGUUACUGCUGUAGAAGACUAUGUCAAGGAGAAACCAAUUGAGAGAACAAGAGAAGAGAUCACGGCCGUGGCGGCGAAAGAAUUUUCUGGAGAGAAGGGGAUAGGUUGGUCGAUCUUGUGGCCAUGGCUCGUCUUCUGCUAUUUGGCUCAUUGAAACGUCUAAUACCUUCUCCAUGUCCUUUGCUGCUUGUAGGACAUUAUUCUCCACGAGGGCUGUGUAUCUGGCAGUUUCAGGCAUCAUCAUACGCCAAUAAUAAGUGAGAGCCGCCGGAAUUGCACCCAGCAUCAGUAUCAACCUCCAUGAAAUAUCGGCGUCCUCAGGCGUAUGAUCCUGGUUCAAAUUCCUUGAUGCUAUCCAGAAUAUCUUGCACACCACCAUGGUCACCGCUGAGCUCGCCAAGAUCCCAAAUCCUUGCAUCGAAAACACUCCCGCAAUGAAAGACCCUCGAGUCUUCCUGUUCGCGAACUCCGACAUGAUUGUCGCCGAUAACGGAUAGUCCCCUCCGAUCCCCAGACCCAGUAAGAAUCUGAAAAAUCCCAAACUCAACAGAACGCAGUUACGGGUCCUGCAUAUCGAAAACCCACAUCCCGUAGAACUCAACACCAUCAGCAUCAAUGCGACUCCAUAAACGCUGCGCCUUCCCUUUCGGUCACCUAGUCUACCGAACACCACCUGACCUAUUGCGGUGCCGAGAAGGGUGGUGCUGACCAUUAAAGCGACUACACCGGUUGGGAUUUCGUAUUUGUUGGGUUCAGGCCUGUCCUCGUAGUACAUCCUUCCUAUAAGUUUCAUAAUUGGAGGGAUGCAGAAGAAAUCGUAGGCGUCAGUGAAGAGGCCCAUCCCUGCUACGAUGAUGGCUUUGAAGUGGUAAUACUGAGUUCUUGCAGAGUCAAGGGCAGAAAGGACUUUUAACGGCAUUGUUGCUGCUGAUGUUAAGAAGUUGGAAAGUGGAAAGGAAAUGAAAAUGGGUAAUCUGAUGUUGGAGCGAUUGAAAAUGGAGUUUUUGAAUUUUAUAUACAGAAAUGAAGAAAGGAAAUUUAUUUGUGAAGGUAAGCUAUGAGAAAUUUCGAUGAAAAACAAAGCGUGGACUUUUGACUAUGAUUCUAUAGAAGAUGCGAAUCAG
This 2025-nucleotide unclassified non-coding RNA is filed under the name Hevea brasiliensis (rubber tree). The record is from RNAcentral. Lineage: Eukaryota; Viridiplantae; Streptophyta; Magnoliopsida; Malpighiales; Euphorbiaceae.